CCUACGGGAGGCAGCAGUGGGGAAUUUUGGACAAUGGGCGCAAGCCUGAUCCAGCAAUGCCGCGUGAGUGAAGAAGGCCUUCGGGUUGUAAAGCUCUUUUGUCAGGGAAGAAACGGCUGAGGCGAAUACCUUUGGCUAAUGACGGUACCUGAAGAAUAAGCACCGGCUAACUACGUGCCAGCAGCCGCGGUAAUACGUAGGGUGCAAGCGUUAAUCGGAAUUACUGGGCGUAAAGCGUGCGCAGGCGGUUUUGUAAGUCUGACGUGAAAUCCCCGGGCUCAACCUGGGAAUUGCGUUGGAGACUGCAAGGCUGGAGUCUGGCAGAGGGGGGUAGAAUUCCACGUGUAGCAGUGAAAUGCGUAGAGAUGUGGAGGAACACCGAUGGCGAAGGCAGCCCCCUGGGUCAAGACUGACGCUCAUGCACGAAAGCGUGGGGAGCAAACAGGAUUAGAUACCCUGGUAGUCCACGCCCUAAACGAUGUCUACUAGUUGUCGGGUCUUAAUUGACUUGGUAACGCAGCUAACGCGUGAAGUAGACCGCCUGGGGAUACGGUCGCAAGAUUAAAACUCAAAUGAAAUUGACGG
RNAcentral lists this ribosomal RNA (585 nucleotides) under uncultured bacterium. RNAcentral describes it as "bacterial SSU rRNA". It matches the Rfam family "Bacterial small subunit ribosomal RNA", at positions 338 to 916 of the family's 1533-position model. The record is from RNAcentral.